This 546-nucleotide ribosomal RNA is filed under the name uncultured bacterium. RNAcentral's name for it is "bacterial SSU rRNA". It matches the Rfam family "Bacterial small subunit ribosomal RNA", at positions 356 to 896 of the family's 1533-position model. The record is from RNAcentral.
GGGGAAUAUUGCACAAUGGGGGGAACCCUGAUGCAGCCAUGCCGCGUGAAUGAAGAAGGCCUUCGGGUUGUAAAGUUCUUUCGGUGACGAGGAAGGUUGAUAGGUUAAUAGCCUAUCAAAUUGACGUUAAUCACAGAAGAAGCACCGGCUAACUCCGUGCCAGCAGCCGCGGUAAUACGGGGGGUGCGAGCGUUAAUCGGAAUAACUGGGCGUAAAGGGCACGCAGGCGGUGACUUAAGUGAGAUGUGAAAGCCCCGGGCUUAACCUGGGAAUUGCAUUUCAUACUGGGUCGCUAGAGUACUUUAGGGAGGGGUAGAAUUCCACGUGUAGCGGUGAAAUGCGUAGAGAUGUGGAGGAAUACCGAAGGCGAAGGCAGCCCCUUGGGAAUGUACUGACGCUCAUGUGCGAAAGCGUGGGGAGCAAACAGGAUUAGAUACCCUGGUAGUCCACGCUGUAAACGAUGUCGAUUUGGGGAUUGGGCUUUGAGCUUGGUGCCCGUAGCUAACGUGAUAAAUCGACCGCCUGGGGAGUACGGCCGCAAGGUUA